Dromaius novaehollandiae (emu) is the source of this 444-nucleotide long non-coding RNA. RefSeq lists it as uncharacterized. NCBI's taxonomy places the organism in Eukaryota, Metazoa, Chordata, Aves, Casuariiformes, Dromaiidae. The transcript has 3 exons. The record is from RefSeq and is a predicted model, not a curated record.
UAAUGCAUGUGCCUCAGUGUUUGACAAGGAUAAUCUACAGGCAGAGGAUGCCUUCCUUACUCUGAGCACUUCCGUGCAGUUCUCCAUGCUGCCACCCUAGACUACUUCCAAAACCUGUCAUUUGAAGACAGAAGAGUCAUUUCCUCUACGUGUCAAUAUACAGCAGAGACUUACCUCAAGCAAAUCAAGAGGACAUCCUACACACAGAUAUGAAUGUGGCUUACUAAGAGUAUCAUAACUGAUCUGAACAUAUGCAAUAGAACUAAUGAAGCCUUUGGCUCACUGUGCCUGUGCCACCGUAUACAUCCUUGGAGAGAGAUUCCUGUCUGCCUUAUAAGAGGAUGGAGUGCCCCAUAAGACUACUUUUGACGGAAGUCACAGAAGACCACUUCUGGUUCUCCUUGGUUGAAACCCUCUGCUCUGGUGCAUACUGAGACAAAACUG